AUUGAACGCUGGCGGCGUGCUUAACACAUGCAAGUCGAUCGGUAACAGGUGUAGCAAUACAUGCUGACGAGAGGCGGACGGGUGAGUAAUGCUUGGGAAUCUGCCUAUUAGUGGGGGACAACCCGGGGAAACUCGGGCUAAUACCGCAUACGCUCUACGGAGGAGAGCCGGGGACCGCAAGGCCUGGCGCUAAUAGAUGAGCCCAAGUCGGAUUAGCUAGUUGGUAGGGAACGGCCUACCAAGGCGACAAUCCGUAGCUGGUCUGAGAGGACGACCAGCCACACCGGAACUGAGACACGGUCCGGACUCCUACGGGAGGCAGCAGUGGGAAUAUUGGACAAUGGGGGCAACCCUGAUCCAGCGACGCCGCGUGGGUGAAGAAGGCCUGCGGGUUGUAAAGCCCUUUCGGUGGGGAAGAAAAGUCUCGACCUAAUACGUCGGGACCUUGACGUAACCCACUAAAGAAGCACCGGCUAACUCUGUGACAGCCGCCG
RNAcentral lists this ribosomal RNA (494 nucleotides) under uncultured bacterium. RNAcentral's name for it is "bacterial SSU rRNA". It matches the Rfam family "Bacterial small subunit ribosomal RNA", at positions 29 to 517 of the family's 1533-position model. The record is from RNAcentral.